ACGGCAUUCUGUCAGCACACGUUUUCAUUAAUCAAGAACGAAAGUUAGGGGAUCGAAGAUGAUCAGAUACCGUCGUACUCUUACCCAUAAACUAUGCCGACACAGACAUCGGGCGUUGUUCUUUUUAUGACUCGCUCGGCACCUUACGAGAAAUCAAAGUUUUUGGGUUCUGGGGGGAGUAUGGUCGCAAGGCUGAAACUUAAAGGAAUUGACGGAAGGGCACCACCAGNAGUGGAGCCUGCGGCUUAAUUUGACUCAACACGGGAAAUCUCACCAGGUCCAGACACAANAAGGAUUGACAGAUUGAGAGCUCUUUCUUGAUUUUGUGGGUGGUGGUGCAUGGCCGUUCUUAGUUGGUGGAGUGAUUUGUCUGCUUAAUUGCGAUAACGAACGAGACCUUAACCUACUAAAUAGUGCUGUUAGCUUCGGCUGAACUGGCACUUCUUAGAGGGACUAUCGAUUUCAAGUCGAUGGAAGUUUGAGGCCAAUAACAGGUCUGUGAUGCCCUUAGACGUUCUGGGCCGCACGCGCGCUAUACUGACGGAGCCAGCAAGUACUAUCCUUGGACCGAAAAGUCCGGNGUAAUCCUCGUGAAACUCCCGUCGUGCUGGGGAAUAGAGCAUUGAAAUUAUUGCUCUUCAACGAGGAAUUCCUAG
Molecule: ribosomal RNA, 656 nt
Filed under: Kuraishia capsulata
Lineage: Eukaryota; Fungi; Ascomycota; Pichiomycetes; Pichiales; Pichiaceae
Description: SSU rRNA
Rfam family: Eukaryotic small subunit ribosomal RNA
Source: RNAcentral